GAUGAACGCUGGCGGCGUGCUUAACACAUGCAAGUCGAACGAAGCACUUUUAAUUGAUUUCUUCGGAAUGAAGUUACUUGUGACUGAGUGGCGGACGGGUGAGUAACGCGUGGGUAACCUGCCUCAUACAGGGGGAUAACAGUUAGAAACGACUGCUAAUACCGCAUAAUGUCAUUUGGGGGCAUCCUUAAAUGACCAAAGCUUAAUGUGCUGAAAGAUGGUCUCGCGUCUGAUUAGCUGGAUGGCGGGGUAACGGCCCACCAUGGCGACGAUCAGUAGCCGGUCUGAGAGGAUGAACGGCCACAUUGGGACUGAGAUACGGCCCAG
Molecule: ribosomal RNA, 327 nt
Filed under: uncultured bacterium
Lineage: Bacteria
Description: bacterial SSU rRNA
Rfam family: Bacterial small subunit ribosomal RNA
Source: RNAcentral